This 77-nucleotide transfer RNA is filed under the name Bartonella australis AUST/NH1. RNAcentral describes it as "Bartonella australis Aust/NH1 tRNA-Met". It matches the Rfam family "tRNA". Rfam says of the family: Transfer RNA (tRNA) molecules are approximately 80 nucleotides in length. The record is from RNAcentral. Lineage: Bacteria; Pseudomonadati; Pseudomonadota; Alphaproteobacteria; Hyphomicrobiales; Bartonellaceae. RNAcentral also lists the same sequence under 5 other names.
GGCGGAGUAGCUCAGUAGGUUAGAGCAGAGGAAUCAUAAUCCUUGUGUCGGGGGUUCAAAUCCCUCCUCCGCUACCG